GGGGGGGUGUCAAAGGAGCUGCGUUAAUGGAGUAAACUGGAGGGCCAGUAAAGGCCUGCAGCCCCAGUCCAGUGGAGUCCAGCUGUGGAUGAGCAUCGCCCGGGUCUCCUCUGUCGGCCGCUCAGCAUCCAGACUCUGCUGGUCCUCCAGCUCCUAUUUAUGCGUUGAGAGCAGAGUUCAGGAUUUAGUUACGAACAUAGAUUAUUACUAUUAUAUUAUCAUUUUGUAUUUUUUUAUCAUCAUUUGUGCAGCUCGCAGGCUAAACUCCUUAAACAGUUUUGGACCAGAGUGCAGUGAUUUGGUUAAAUACACGGCAUGACCUCCAGCGUAAGUCAGAGAGCAGUAUUAAACAAAAAGGUCCAUUCUAUUUUUACACAAAACAAGCGUUUAAACGAUGCUUCUCCCCCCUCAGACAUUCGUCGGGCUUCAAGAAGGGCUCCGUGGCGAUUGAUUGAUUUGGAUUAUCUGGCACUUUUCCACAGCAGGAUGGGCUGUAGCUGUAGAGAUAUCUACACACGUAUAUGGCACCGCCUCUCGCAUCACAUUUGGAUCCACUUUUGUAAAUAUUGUAUAACUUUAAAAGUCAUGGCUUCAUCCCUGUUUCUUUUUUCUCCACUGGGGCACUUUUGGGAUUGAUGUUUUCAAAAACAGUUUGAGUUCAUAGAAUCCAGUCUAGCCUUCCUCCUGCCUUGUGUUUGUGUGCUAUUUAACGUUCAUUCUGUCUCCGGAAUUAUGCUCGUUUUUUUUUUUUUAUUGUCAUUAUGAUAUUAUUUUCUAUUCAUGUGAAAUCAAUUUCAUUUCUUUAAAUUGUCGGAGGAGCUCUGUUUUGCCUUUUAGGGUCGGCUUUGAGAUACCAAUCAAAGUAUACUGCUUCGAGGAGUUCAGAUUAAUCGAUAACACCGUUGUAGAGAAUUGUCCAUAAUGAAUCAGGAUAAAAACCGAGAUACGCAUCUUGAUUAGUGGGUUUGAAAAGAAAGAUAAAAAUGCCUUUAUAGAUCCCCUCCCUCUCCCCAAGAAAAAUUUUUGGGAUGUUCUAAAACUGGCAGCAUAUGAUCCAAACAUUAUUACUAUUAUUGUUAUUAUUACUAUUAUUAAACAGGGUGUUAUUUUAAUUUUGUGUGUGAAGGCGUUGCCAUGCGUUUCAUUUCAGCCAUUUUGUUUAUCCUUCGUCUAUGUUGCUGUAUUACAAGAGGGAACUUGCUCCUUAGACAUUUUAUUUUAUUUUUCAGCACUGUUAGUGAGAUUGUAAUUUAUUAUACAAUGGCUUUUAUAGCUGACACAAAAAUCCGAGAUAUAUAUGAAAUAGAGACACGUUUGGUGUUUCCUUUGAGCGGGAUUGUCGCAGCCUAAAACACAACUAAAUGUAUAUACAUCUGUUCUCCGUAGCUUGCUUGGUGUCUGGUUUUAUGCAAAAACAGACAUCCAGGGACUUGUCUUAUUUUCCGUCUCAUGUGAAACAAUACUUUUCUAUCCCCCAAACCCCCCCCCCCCCCUGAGUUAUUUGUCCCCCGCAGAAAACCACAAGCAGGACACGUUUGUGGCGUUGAAAUAUCUCCUCGGUAGCUUUAAUUAAUCAAAUUCAUCUCAUAAUUCAAUGGAAUUCCAAGUUGUGGGACGUAGACCUGUAGCAACCCGACGCUGUUUUUGUUGUUUUAUUUAAUUGCUUGUUAAACCAGUCGUUGUUUUUUUUUUUUUUUUUUUUUGGGGGGGGGGGGGGGGGGGGGGGGGGGGUAUAUAGGCUAUGUCAUAUCCACUGGAUGAACUUGGGGUAGAAACAGCAGAGGUGAUAAAUGUCUGUAGGUGUUUCAUCACUUGACACACGAACAACAGACUUGCACAUUUUGAAAUAACGGGGUUGAUAUUAAACAGCUUUUUUCCAACGUCCAGGCUGAAUGUAUUUUUUAUUUUUUUUCCCAUUGUGCGAAAGAGAAACCGCUGCUGUCGUGACAUCCGCAUAUCUGCUCCAGCAUCUGCGCUCCAGACAGGCUUCCUGCUUCCAGCUCCUUCGCUUGGGUGGAAUUAAUGGUUGAGAGAAAAUCAGGGUUGAUGAAUGGAAGAUUGCGAGCCGACGAUGUGUUGUUUGUGCCCGGGGCUGCUUUCAGGUGGACCGGCUUCGGCUGGGAAAACCUCAGCUUCCGGUUCGGGUUAAAUCAGGGCUUCUCAAAGUGGGGUUGGAGGACCAAUAGCGGUCCUCAGGAGGACUCAAAGGGUUCCAACGUGACAAAUCCCCUGCGGUUUUAUGGGGUUUCCCGUUCUGUCUUCACAGUCACACUCUAAAACAAUAUUAUGUAUUGUCUCGUAUAACAUGUCAAACAAAUUCUAUUUCCAAUGUAACCUCAUGAAAUUCAUCCUUAAAAUUCACAAAGUUAGUUUAUUCAUGAUCAUUCCUCUGCUUUUUGUCAAAUAUGUUUUUUCGCUAUCUUUGUCUAAAGUGAAAAAAUAUAAGAGACAAAAAUGUUAUGCUUUUAAUUUGGCUUCACUUGGGUUGAUUGAUUGAAAUUGAGCCCUUUACAGUUAAGCGUAUAAGAACAACCAGACUUUAAACAGCAUGAGAGAUUGUGACAUUGUCCUGUUUUUAUUCCAAAUUGACGGCUUUGCUUUUGUCCGGAUUCAAACAGAGAGUUCAGGAUCAAUAGAUAACACAUAUUUCACCAGGGAAACUCUAACUGAAAGUGAUAUUGACAGCGGUGACCCUGAUGGUGAUUUCAUAUUCACUGUGGAACGUCAUUCUUUCGAUAAUAUUCCCACCGGAACCUGUGGUGAGAUAUUUGCAUGAGCAUCUCCUCUGGCUCGUUAUAUUCUGGAGCAAACGGGCAGAAUGCAGAGUUGUUUACCAACAAAACGCCAGACGUGUUUGCCCUCCGCGGGCGUCUCAAUAAUAUGAAUUACAAUUGGAUCGUUGUCAACUUCAAAAUGUCUGCAGCAGUCGGGUGAGAUUUACCUCUGAAGGAGCCGAUCGAUCGGAAAUCGAUAUCCGAUUGGUUACUGAUGACGUAACCAAUGCAAUAAUUACCGUAAACGAACGAACACAACAACUGUGUAUUGAAAUAACUAUUUUCUGAAGCAUCUUUAAGAAUCCACCCUCUCUGCAAUUAAACGCCAGGGAUAUUUCUUUUAUUUUUUAAUUUCUGAAUAAAAAGUGAGAUACAAGUAGCGGCCUUCCGUGGCAAAAACAGAUCACCAGCACGCAGAGGAAGACAAAGGGAUUUCUUAUUCUCACGCGCGUGGUUACUCGUUGCACCGGGUGCAUCUGGCAGUGCGGUUCUUUGACUUGUUUUGCGGGAUUCUAAACACACACUCCUCUGGAAUACAGCGGUGAAGGUUACAGAUCACAUCUGCAUCAAUGCGCUGCACAUCUCUGCUGCGGGUCGGUUAUUGAUGCGCGGGGGGGGUAGAAUAAAACGUCGCCCUCUCUGCAUCAUCGUCGCCCCACUUCUGACCUGCCAUUUGGAUGCCUGGCACGAAACGACACCCGGAAAUAAAGCCCCGUGUCGGAUCUCCGCGGUCUUUUUGCGGAGCCCGGUAAUCACAAAAAGUGCGCCCCGGCGCCCUUCAUCCGCUCUCUGGUAGAUGCAAUUAAUAGCGCGUCGCGUUAAUUACACCUUCCGUUUUAUUUAGGUGACUUGAAAUUUCCCAUUAGGCAUCCAAGGAGGAAUUAAAAAAAAAAAAAGAUUACUCCGCCGUCCUGGUGUUGAGCCGAGGAGAAGCAGAGAGGGAUCAUCGGUGUUCUAGCGCCACCUAGCGGCCCGAGGGUGAGUCCAAGCCGUGAUGUCAUCUUAACGUAUAGGAGGGCUUUGGGUCAAUGGAAUCAACGAGCACAGUCACAUCUUUACCAAACCAGCUUAUGGCCGAAAUGUUAAGCAGAGGCUGAAUGUAACGUUUGCUGUCUGAUGGAGAUGUAGAAGCAUUGUGUGACAUAACGACAAAGAUAGUAAGGGUCAUCAUCUGCAGCGCCUUUUGUUGGACUGUGUUUCUACCAAAUGAUCACUUUAUUUUCAUUAAAGUAACAUUUUAGAAAUGUCAGAAUAACAUACUUAUUGCCCAAAGGAAUAACAUUAGGUGUAUUGUAUAGACAGUUUUGGGAAGCAACAAUAACAUAUUGGUAGAGCCUUUGUUCACAAGGCAUUUUAUU
Long non-coding RNA from Gasterosteus aculeatus aculeatus (three-spined stickleback), 4132 nucleotides. The record is from Ensembl. NCBI's taxonomy places the organism in Eukaryota, Metazoa, Chordata, Actinopteri, Perciformes, Gasterosteidae.